Molecule: ribosomal RNA, 211 nt
Filed under: uncultured Geobacillus sp.
Lineage: Bacteria; Bacillati; Bacillota; Bacilli; Caryophanales; Anoxybacillaceae
Description: partial 16S ribosomal RNA
Rfam family: Bacterial small subunit ribosomal RNA
Source: RNAcentral
UGGGGAUGACGUCAAAUCAUCAUGCCCUUUAUGCCCUGGGCUACACACGCGCUACAAUGGCCGGUCCAAAGGGCAGCGCACCCGCGAGGGGAAGCGAAUCCCAAAAAGCCGGUCUCAGUUCGGAUUGCAGGCUGCAACUCGCCUGCAUGAAGGCGGAAUCGCUAGUAAUCGCGGAUCAGCAUGCCGCGGUGAAUACCGGUUCCCGGGCCUU